Molecule: transfer RNA, 70 nt
Filed under: Dipodomys ordii (Ord's kangaroo rat)
Lineage: Eukaryota; Metazoa; Chordata; Mammalia; Rodentia; Heteromyidae
Rfam family: tRNA
About the family: Transfer RNA (tRNA) molecules are approximately 80 nucleotides in length. Their secondary structure includes four short double-helical elements and three loops (D, anti-codon, and T loops).
Source: Rfam by way of RNAcentral
GGGAAUGUGGCUUAGUGGUAGAGUGCUUGCCUAGCAUGCAUGAAGCUUUGGGUUCAGUUCCUCAGUACCA